Molecule: ribosomal RNA, 443 nt
Filed under: uncultured bacterium
Lineage: Bacteria
Description: partial 16S ribosomal RNA
Rfam family: Bacterial small subunit ribosomal RNA
Source: RNAcentral
CCUACGGGAGGCAGCAGUGGGGAAUAUUGGGCAAUGGGCGCAAGCCUGACCCAGCAACGCCGCGUGAAGGAAGAAGGCUUUCGGGUUGUAAACUUCUUUUCUCAGGGACGAAGCAAGUGACGGUACCUGAGGAAUAAGCCACGGCUAACUACGUGCCAGCAGCCGCGGUAAUACGGAGGUGGCAAGCGUUAUCCGGAUUUACUGGGUGUAAAGGGCGUGUAGGCGGGAAAGCAAGUCAGAUGUGAAAACCAUGGGCUCAACCUGUGGCCUGCAUUUGAAACUGUUUUUCUUGAGUACUGGAGAGGCAGACGGAAUUCCUUGUGUAGCGGUGAAAUGCGUAGAUAUAAGGAGGAACACCAGUGGCGAAGGCGGUCUGCUGGACAGCAACUGACGGUGAGGCGCGAAAGCGUGGGGAGCAAACAGGAUUAGAUACCCCUGUAGUC